Molecule: long non-coding RNA, 773 nt
Filed under: Nothobranchius furzeri (turquoise killifish)
Lineage: Eukaryota; Metazoa; Chordata; Actinopteri; Cyprinodontiformes; Nothobranchiidae
Description: lncRNA (ENSNFUG00015020413.1)
Source: RNAcentral
CUGUCCCAUGGCCGGUUUUCAGUCCGGGUGGCCGGGUCGUCCAGGCACUGUGUUCUACGAGGAGCCCGUUUCCAUCCCGGGUUACAUUUUGGAUGUGGCGGGCCCACCACCACGCCUUUAUUACGUUGAGAGGCGCCGGGCGAUGGAGCCAAGGAAGUUCCUUCUUCAAAAGUCUUUGUUUGAGUUGGUGGUUAGUCGCCACGUUGUGCGGUUAACGGACCCAGAUUUGCUACAGUGGUAUUUCAGUUUGUCCCUGGAAGACAAGAAGAUCAUACAGGAUGAAGGAGGUUUUCCUCAGUUCCUGCAGGGACAUCCAGCCUUGGACCUCUAUCAAGAUCAUGCUUCUGUGAAAGAGCCGAGGACAAAUCUGGGACAUGUGGCUAAACGUGUCUCAGCGUUGUCCUCUUCUCAGGAGGAGCAGGAACCUGUAAGCAGAAGGUAAACAACGGCUUUGCUACUCUGUGUUGAAACUUGAUAUAGAAUCAGGUGCAUCUGAGCAGGGACAUGUAGAAAACAUGUGACCUUCAAGGACCAGGUUUGCUCCACCCUAUCAUACAGAAUAGAGGUUGGUCUUAUUUCAUUUUCUUGACCUGUUUUCAUGUCUGCCUGGAGCUGUGCUGAUGGACCUCACAGCCGUCUUCCAGUUCUUUAAUGAAGCAAAGAUCGUGUUGGAAAGUAGAAGCAAUGUUCAGAUGUUUCCUCUGAAGAAGUCCCAGAGAAACGAUGGCUUGGUCCUCUCAGCUGUAGUGUCUCCAUACACUUUCAGAGCUUUG